GGGACUGUAGUUCAGUUGGGAGAAUGUUGCAAUGGCAUUGCAAAGGUCGUGGGUUCGAAUCCCAUCAGUUCCACCA
This 76-nucleotide transfer RNA is filed under the name Bacillus cereus. Its description in RNAcentral is "tRNA-Ala". It matches the Rfam family "tRNA". From Rfam's summary of the family: Transfer RNA (tRNA) molecules are approximately 80 nucleotides in length. Their secondary structure includes four short double-helical elements and three loops (D, anti-codon, and T loops). Lineage: Bacteria; Bacillati; Bacillota; Bacilli; Caryophanales; Bacillaceae. The record is from RNAcentral. RNAcentral also lists the same sequence under 1 other name.